AAUUAAAAAUAAAACUAAAAGGACGCGGUAACCUUGACCGUGAUAAUGUAGCAUAAUCACUCGCCAUUUAAUUGAUGGAUAGUAUGAAUGGUUGAACGAAUAUUCCACUGUCUUAAAGAGAAUUACAAGAAAUUGAAAUAAUAGUUAAGAUGCUAUUUAAAACUGUAAGACGAAAAGACCCUAUAGAGCUUAACUAUAGUCUCUUUACUAAAGAAGAAAAAUAAUUUUCUUACAUAAAGAGAUUGGUAGUUUAGUUGGGGCGACUGUCUUCUAAAAUAAACGAAGAUAAGCAAUGUUAAUAAAAGACUUAUUGUAUAAUGAAUUUAUUUAACAAUUACAAAAGUAGGCUAUAUUGACCCGUUUUUACUAAAAAACAAAGAAAAACGAUCAAUUGAUAAAAGCUACCUUAGGGAUAACAGGAUAAUUUCAUUUUAGAGCUC
Molecule: ribosomal RNA, 440 nt
Filed under: Obelia geniculata (knotted thread hydroid)
Lineage: Eukaryota; Metazoa; Cnidaria; Hydrozoa; Leptothecata; Obeliidae
Description: partial 16S ribosomal RNA
Rfam family: Bacterial large subunit ribosomal RNA
Source: RNAcentral